GCCACGGCUCAGCAGGUAGAGCAUCUGCUUUGCAUGCAGAAGGUCCCAGGUUCAAUCCCCGGUAUCUCCA
Molecule: non-coding RNA, 70 nt
Organism: Podarcis lilfordi (Lilford's wall lizard)
Lineage: Eukaryota; Metazoa; Chordata; Lepidosauria; Squamata; Lacertidae
Source: the annotation of a GenBank genome assembly